Python bivittatus (Burmese python) is the source of this 1567-nucleotide long non-coding RNA. RefSeq lists it as uncharacterized. NCBI's taxonomy places the organism in Eukaryota, Metazoa, Chordata, Lepidosauria, Squamata, Pythonidae. The record is from RefSeq and is a predicted model, not a curated record.
UGGGCAGAGAUCUCUUUUAAAGAGACAUCGCCCAGCCAGCGGCUGUGUCAACAAGGAAUCGUGGCUUCGACUGGGAGAUUACUGGACCGGGCGGCGUGCUUUUAGGACCCCUGCGCCUUCCUCUUGUUCUGGGUUAGGUGGCUUUAUAGGAGUAACAAGCCGAGCGACAAGCCCCUGAACUCACGCCGCGACCAGCUGAGGGCAGCUGAACAGGCUCAAGCGCGGCUCUGUUUGGUCGGCUUGUAUGGGAAAAAACAAAACGCUGCAGAAUAAGCCGAAGGGUUCAUGGAAAGAUCCUUCGUCUGAGGAGAGGUUUUUAAAAAGAGAGCGGAUGUUGGGGAAGAGGUCGUCUGACAGACCUAAGGUCAGAAUGCAGAAAAGGGAGGAACAGUAGAAUCUCUUAAGAAAGUCGCCAGAAUGGAGAUAUCCGUCCUUCGGCUGAGAGAUGUCGUGGCAGGGUGAAAAAGCAGCCGUUUAAACAAGAAAGAGUGAAUAAUGUUAUACAUAUGUACAUACAUACUAAAAUCAUCUGGAUUGCAAACUUUCUAUGAAAAAAUGGGUUAACAACAGCAGCACCAGCAGCAAUGAAUGAAGAUCCCAAUCUUCUGUUUCCAUUCUGGCCAGUGGAAAGGUUAUGGGAAACCCACAAGCUGAACUUAAGCUCAAUAGCACCUUGUGUUCCCCAGUAAUUGGCAUUCAGAGUAUCAAACAGUAUCAAACAUGGUUCUUGAUGGCAUGCUAAACUAAGCAUCCCACUUAAUGUGUAAGAGCACUGUUGCCGCCAUCUUACCACCAGCCCCACAGAGCUGUUUAAAGUCCAUCAUUUGUUGGCUUCUAUUUCAGUCAGUUGGCUUCUAUUUCCAGUUAUAGAAAUGUGAAAGCAGGUUUAGUUGUGGGAACAAAUUCCAAUAGUUAACUAUGCAGCAUGUGUGUAUGAAACAGUAUUUCCUUUUGUCUGUCCUGUAUCUCCCAUUAUUAUUCUAGUAAUUUUGUAUAUGAGCGAGAACCCCCACAAGCACACCAUUUCCCUCACACUCCCUUAACUUCUAUCUAAUACAAGGCUGGCAACUGUUUGGAAGCCAAAAUGCACCUAUCACUUGAGGGACAGGUCCUGGGGGCCACUUCCAGAGCUCAACUCCAUGCUCUGCUUUGGCCACAAUGAUGGCCUGGUGUCCUCUGCAGACUGUGCUUACCAAGGACCCCAGCUGGUGAGAUUCUCCUGCUGCUUUACUCUUCCCAUCUAUGUUAAGAAAAUCAACACAGUAACUUUCCUUCCAUGGGUGAGUCUUUGGGGUUUCAAUUGAUAGACCUUUGGAAUAAGCCCCCUCCCCUUGAUUCCGUCCAUACUUGACACUCUCCUUGCAUCCACCAGUGGACCAGUAAAUAAGGAAAGGAAAAACUAGCUUUAUCACUCUUCCUGUCACUUGGGCUAGAGGGGGAAACUCUUAUCUAAUUUCACCUGAUUAAAAGGAAGAGACUUUAUCCACACUUUUGGAAAACCCAGACACUACCAACAAUACAAGAAUGGUUGUUAAAACUGAGAAAAUGAUAAACUGACUUGCUUAUU